Molecule: small RNA, 412 nt
Filed under: Oryza sativa Japonica Group (Japanese rice)
Lineage: Eukaryota; Viridiplantae; Streptophyta; Magnoliopsida; Poales; Poaceae
Description: sRNA Os09g0414300
Source: RNAcentral
GUGCCAUUGGGGGACCCCAGUGAGUUCUUUUAAGUGUAGUACAACCAAAAUUAAAUUAAUCAAGUAGACAGCAAGAACAAAAAAAAAUAAUGGAAAGUUGCCGAGUUAAUUAAUCAAGAUGCAACUAAUCAAAGCUAAUUAAAAGGGCUUCGAGUUAAUUCUCGGUGAUUUAAAUCGAGUUUGCAGGUGUUGAUCUAGCUUGGUUAAUUAAUCCUUUCUUUUGUAGGUUUUUAGUUAAUUAGUCUCUCUGAUGAUGCUAGGGUUUGGAACUGAUCAUAUGUAAGUUAAUUUAUACUAAUGGUAGGCCUGUGACUUGUGAUUAGUUAGUCCUGAGUGGAUAAAUAAAGACAUAAAUGUACAUCUUUUUAAAAGAUAUAUAUGUGUAUAGAUGUUACAGUUUAUUAAUUUUACU